Molecule: ribosomal RNA, 429 nt
Filed under: bacterium
Lineage: Bacteria
Description: partial 16S ribosomal RNA
Rfam family: Bacterial small subunit ribosomal RNA
Source: RNAcentral
UAGGGAAUCUUCGGCAAUGGGGGCAACCCUGACCGAGCAACGCCGCGUGAGUGAAGAAGGUUUUCGGAUCGUAAAGCUCUGUUGUAAGAGAAGAACGUGUGUGAGAGUGGAAAGUUCACACAGUGACGGUAACUUACCAGAAAGGGACGGCUAACUACGUGCCAGCAGCCGCGGUAAUACGUAGGUCCCGAGCGUUGUCCGGAUUUAUUGGGCGUAAAGCGAGCGCAGGCGGUUUAAUAAGUCUGAAGUUAAAGGCAGUGGCUUAACCAUUGUUCGCUUUGGAAACUGUUAAACUUGAGUGCAGAAGGGGAGAGUGUAAUUCCAUGUGUAGCGGUGAAAUGCGUAGAUAUAUGGAGGAACACCGGUGGCGAAAGCGGCUCUCUGGUCUGUAACUGACGCUGAGGCUCGAAAGCGUGGGGAGCAAACAGG